Molecule: long non-coding RNA, 462 nt
Organism: Lontra canadensis (Northern American river otter)
Lineage: Eukaryota; Metazoa; Chordata; Mammalia; Carnivora; Mustelidae
Exons: 4
Source: RefSeq, a predicted model, not a curated record
UUUUAAGUCCGUGUCAUGCAGUGAGACCUGCUUUUGUUAAAAUGAGAUAAUAUGAUAUGGAAAUCCACUUGAGUACUAUGACGCUUGGCCCAGGGAAUCAUCAUAGGAAUCCCUGGAGUCUACAUGCCUACCUUUUGACGUUGUUGCCCUAGAGGGUGCCAAAAGGAAGCAGUGGAAGUAGAGAUCUGAAGAAAAAUACAUGAGGUCCUGAUCUCAGGGUGACAUCUUGCUCUUCCAGCCCUACCAAACGUCUUGAGACUGGACUUCCUAUUUCAACUCCCUCUCUGCUGGAAAUAUCCUGAAUGCUUCCCAUGCUUCUUACUGGAAUCUGACGGAUACAGAAGAAAUAAUACAUCAGGCCCCUCUCCCCGGAAGACAAGCUGGAAGAACAAGAGGACAACAACCCAAGCGUCCCCAUAAAACUGUACAACCCCAACACCAGAGGAAAAUAGUAUAUUAAGU